This 464-nucleotide ribosomal RNA is filed under the name uncultured bacterium. Its description in RNAcentral is "partial 16S ribosomal RNA". It matches the Rfam family "Bacterial small subunit ribosomal RNA", at positions 28 to 507 of the family's 1533-position model. The record is from RNAcentral.
GACGAACGCUGGCGGCGUGCUUAACACAUGCAAGUCGAACGGAAAGGCCCAGCUUGCUGGGUGCUCGAGUGGCGAACGGGUGAGUAACACGUGGGUGAUCUGCCUCUAACUUCGGGAUAAGCUUGGGAAACUGGGUCUAAUACCGGAUAGGACAAUCGUUUAGUGUCGGUUGUGGAAAGUUUUUUCGGUUAGGGAUGAGCCCGCGGCCUAUCAGCUUGUUGGUGGGGUAAUGGCCUACCAAGGCGUCGACGGGUAGCCGGCCUGAGCGGGUGGACGGCCACAUUGGGACUGAGAUACGGCCCAGACUCCUACGGGAGGCAGCAGUGGGGAAUAUUGCACAAUGGGCGCAAGCCUGAUGCAGCGACGCCGCGUGGGGGAUGACGGCCUUCGGGUUGUAAACCUCUUUCGACAGGGACGAAGCUUUGGUGACGGUACCUGUAUAAGAAGCACCGGCUAACUACGUG